GGAGCUAAUACCGGAUAACAUUUUCUCUUGCAUAAGAGAAAAUUGAAAGAUGGUUUCGGCUAUCACUUACAGAUGGGCCCGCGGUGCAUUAGCUAGUUGGUGAGGUAACGGCUCACCAAGGCAACGAUGCAUAGCCGACCUGAGAGGGUGAUCGGCCACACUGGGACUGAGACACGGCCCAGACUCCUACGGGAGGCAGCAGUAGGGAAUCUUCCGCAAUGGACGAAAGUCUGACGGAGCAACGCCGCGUGAGUGAUGAAGGCUUUCGGGUCGUAAAACUCUGUUGUUAGGGAAGAACAAGUACAAGAGUAACUGCUUGUACCUUGACGGUACCUAACCAGAAAGCCACGGCUAACUACGUGCCAGCAGCCGCGGUAAU
RNAcentral lists this ribosomal RNA (379 nucleotides) under Priestia flexa. Its description in RNAcentral is "bacterial SSU rRNA". It matches the Rfam family "Bacterial small subunit ribosomal RNA", at positions 159 to 524 of the family's 1533-position model. The record is from RNAcentral. Lineage: Bacteria; Bacillati; Bacillota; Bacilli; Caryophanales; Bacillaceae.